GUUGUCCGGAUUAUUGGGCGUAAAGAGCUUGUAGGCGGUUUGUCGCGUCUGCUGUGAAAGGCCGGGGCUUAACUCCGUGUAUUGCAGUGGGUACGGGCAGACUAGAGUGCAGUAGGGGAGACUGGAAUUCCUGGUGUAGCGGUGGAAUGCGCAGAUAUCAGGAGGAACACCGAUGGCGAAGGCAGGUCUCUGGGCUGUAACUGACGCUGAGAAGCGAAAGCAUGGGGAGCGAACAGGAUUAGAUACCCUGGUAGUCCAUGCCGUAAACGUUGGGCACUAGGUGUGGGGAACAUUCCACGUUUUCCGCGCCGUAGCUAACGCAUUAAGUGCCCCGCCUGGGGAGUACGGCCGCAAGGCUAAAACUCAAAGAAAUUGACGGGGGCCCGCACAGGCGGCGGAGCAUGCGGAUUAAUUCGAUGCAACGCGAAGAACCUUACCAAGGCUUGACAUAUACUGGACCGCAUCAGAGAUGGUGUUUCCCUUCGGGGCUGGUAUACAGGUGGUGCAUGGUUGUCGUCAGCUCGUGUCGUGA
This 532-nucleotide ribosomal RNA is filed under the name uncultured bacterium. RNAcentral describes it as "bacterial SSU rRNA". It matches the Rfam family "Bacterial small subunit ribosomal RNA", at positions 540 to 1070 of the family's 1533-position model. The record is from RNAcentral.